RNAcentral lists this unclassified non-coding RNA (336 nucleotides) under soil metagenome. RNAcentral's name for it is "partial contains 5.8S ribosomal RNA, internal transcribed spacer 2, and large subunit ribosomal RNA". The stretch from base 1 to 119 matches the Rfam family "5.8S ribosomal RNA", at positions 35 to 154 of the family's 154-position model. The record is from RNAcentral.
GAUGAAGAACGUAGCGAAAUGCGAUAAGUAAUGCGAAUUGCAGAAUCCGUGAGUCAUCGAAUCUUUGAACGCACAUUGCGCCCCUUGGUAUUCCAUGGGGCAUGCCUGUUCGAGCGUCAUUUGUACCCUCAAGCUUUGCUUGGUGUUGGGUGUUUGUCCCGCGUUGCGCGUGGACUCGCCUUAAAGCGAUUGGCAGCCGGCAUAUUGGCCUUGGAGCGCAGCACAUUUUGCGCUUCUAGUCAUGAAUGUUGGCGUCCAUUAAGCCUAUACAUUUGCUCUUGACCUCGGAUCAGGUAGGGAUACCCGCUGAACUUAAGCAUAUCAAUAAGCGGAGGA